This 23-nucleotide non-coding RNA is filed under the name Arabidopsis thaliana (thale cress). The record is from RNAcentral. Lineage: Eukaryota; Viridiplantae; Streptophyta; Magnoliopsida; Brassicales; Brassicaceae.
GAUCGAGUGAUUAUCUUGGUGGU